ACGAGGAUUCCCCUAGUAACUGCGAGUGAAGCGGGAAAAGCUCAAAUUUGAAAUCUGGCAGUCCUCUGGCUGUCCGAGUUGUAAACUAGAGAAGUGUUACCCGCGUUGGACCGUGUACAAGUCUCCUGGAAUGGAGCGUCAUAGAGGGUGAGAAUCCCGUCUUUGACACGGACUACCAAGGCUUUGUGGUACGCUCUCAAAGAGUCGAGUUGUUUGGGAAUGCAGCUCAAAAUGGGUGGUAAAUGCCAUCUAAAGCUAAAUAUUGGCGAGAGACCGAUAGCGAACAAGUACCGUGAGGGAAAGAUGAAAAGAACUUUGGAAAGAGAGUUAAACAGUACGUGAAAUUGCUGAAAGGGAAACGCUUAAAGUCAGUCGCGUCGGCUUGGAAUCAACCUUGCUUUUGCUGGGUGUACUUCCUUGUCGAUGGGUCAACAUCAGUUUUGACCGGUGGAUAAAGUCAGUCGGAAUGUGGCUCCCUCGGGAGUGUUAUAGCCUUCUGUCGCAUGCAUCGGUUGGGACUGAGGACCGCAGCACGCCGUUAAGGCCUGGUUUCGACCAAGUUCGUGCUUAGGAUGU
Molecule: ribosomal RNA, 576 nt
Filed under: Crepidotus nephrodes
Lineage: Eukaryota; Fungi; Basidiomycota; Agaricomycetes; Agaricales; Crepidotaceae
Description: eukaryotic LSU rRNA
Rfam family: Eukaryotic large subunit ribosomal RNA
Source: RNAcentral